UCACGCAGCCACAUCCCAAACCAGACCCCUGAUUCGUUCCCUCUCCCUCACCGAUUCCGGCAGCCUGCUUCGAUGAAGACCACCGGCGAUCUCCGGUGCCCACCUUUCUUCUCCGGCCGCACUAGACCCCCUCUCCUUCUCCGACUAACCUCCACAACACCCCCACCUUCUCUCUCCGCCUCAAACCACCGCACAAACCGCCACCUUUGACGUUUGAACGGUCGGCGUGGCACACGGCGGCGAGACAAGAGGGAAGAGAGAGAGAGAACCGAAGAGAGAGAGAGAGAGACGACGACAGUAGCGUCGUCUGCGGCGGUGGCGGCGGAUCUGCUCCUGUUCGGGUCGCUGCGCCGGCACCGGCUUGGUUCAGUUUCUGGUCUCGGAAUUCGAGUCCCGUUCGACUUCAGUCCACUCCGUUCAUCAUCCGUUCCAGUUCAGAUUCGUUCUAACCCGAUUCAGUCUAGGUCUAUGUCGGGUUUCAGUUUCAAGUCGAGUCCUGGUUUCAGUUUCGUCAACGGGUUAGUUCGGUUCAGUUCGACUCAGUCAAACCGAGGCAACUCGGUCAACUGCUGGUCAACUCAGUCGAACACGGUCAACUCUUCGGCACGAGACUCGGUACAAUCCUAACGUCGUGAAGUUGAUUAUAUUGUCUUGUUAACGUUAUUUUGAUCGUAGAACCGACUCUAAUGUUAUUCAUGAUUAAUGUUAUUUUAGUCGUCGUUCAUUAUAUUAUUUACGUUGAUGUUAAAUUUUACGCGAACCGUAUUUUUUAUAACUUGUAAUCAUACAUAGAAAUAUAUAUAUUAUUUUUAUAAUUUGUUGUUUCGGAUUGUUCCGUAUUUUAAUCAUUGUUAAUGAAUUGUUGAGUUUUGGGAAAUAAUAUCGACAACUUGUGUUGUCGGGAUCGUCCAAAAACAGAGGAAACUCUGCCCGAUUUUCAUAAAAAUAUAUAAUUCAAAAUGCGUUAAAAUUAUAAAACUAAACGUAUCGGUUUCAAAUAUUUUUUUAUAAAAAUAAAUAUAAAUGUAUAGUAAUUUUUGACAACACUCCUAAUGUAUCCUUGAUGGAUUUAAUUUAGAAUUUUUACUUAAACUAUGUAAAAUAUGUAUAUACAUAUAUAUAUAUCAAUAAGUUAUACUCUAAAUUCCAAUUCAAAUCCUCCAUCAUAAUUCCUAUUACUCGUACACCUCCGUUUGCCCAUAUAGGGUGACUUCGGUGUUCCAUCCUCUUAAUCUCAUGCACUCGUCAACACUUGGAUGAUCAGAAGACUUAGCAAAUUUUGUGAGUAUACUUGACCCAUUUUAUCGUUUUCACACUUUUGACCCAUGUUUUUAUAUACAAAAAACACUUAGUAUGCAUACUCUUAUGCAAAUACAUAAACAAACAAUCCAAUAUAUGCUUACUAUUUGUUAUGCUUGAUUCAUGUUUUCUGGGUGAUUCUUAUGUGAUGAACUUGUCAUUAGCUUCGUACAAGCCUCCACUUAACAUGUAUAGCGCUAUAGGAGUAACACACCACCCGUGAACGAGAGGUCAUGUUAGGUUUAUUCAUUCAUACUUGCGUAAACAGAUGGUUGACUUGUAAAUCGCAUGCCAGUUUAUACGUUAAUCUUGAUAACUAGGUUUGUCAUGUGGAUUGUUUCUUAUUAUUUUAUUACUUAUAUACUACGCACCAAACUUGUAUGCUCGCCGAUAUUUCUGUAUUGAAUUACACUUUUAAAACAUGUUGCAGGUUUAGCGUUGACGUUGACGUUGGUGAUGCAUGGAAUCUAGUAGGAUGCUUAGAUACAUACAUUAAAUUUUGUACUCUCACUGUAUUGUAUUUCAUUAUUUAUGUUGUAUUUGUUUCCAAUCUUUGUAAUUGAUUCUUUAGAAAUUGAAUGAAAUUUAUUAUUUAAACA
Helianthus annuus (common sunflower) is the source of this 1898-nucleotide long non-coding RNA. RefSeq lists it as uncharacterized. The record is from RefSeq and is a predicted model, not a curated record. NCBI's taxonomy places the organism in Eukaryota, Viridiplantae, Streptophyta, Magnoliopsida, Asterales, Asteraceae. The transcript is spliced from 2 exons.